CUAAUGAAUAUUUUAUAAGUGUUUUUUCAAAAUUGUUGCUUAAGAUAAAAUAAUAUAAUAAUAUUAAAACGUUGUUCGUUAUAUAACACAAAAAAUUAUUUUAUCUAAGUUGCUGUAGUCCGAUUAUAUUUUGCCUAUUUGAAUUAUAGAAAAAGUUGUAUAAUUUAAAAAAUUAUAUAAUAGUCAUAUAUAAUAAUUAAUAAUACGAUUGUAGCACUUUUUUAGAUUCUAAGCUCAGCGAGACAUGUAUUGGUUUUACUAUGAUCAGUGCUU
This is a non-coding RNA of Cinara cedri, 273 nucleotides long. The record is from the annotation of a GenBank genome assembly. Lineage: Eukaryota; Metazoa; Arthropoda; Insecta; Hemiptera; Aphididae.